GCCCCGCCGCUGCUGUCACCCCCGGCCGCUGCUGCCCUCCCCGCCGAGGUUCUACUGCUCUCCUUCUUAAGAAGGGUGGGAGGCACUCGGUCUCUCCCCACACCUCUCGCCUGAGGCCAGGCGCCAGGUGUCGCCUGAAGCCAGACAGCCGGUUUGGGAGCGAGCCUGAGGCCAACCAAUCAAUGGCUCAGACAGAUAAGCCAACAUGCAUCCCGCCGGAGCUGCCGAAGAUGCUGAAGGAGUUUGCCAAAGCCGCCAUUAGGGUGCAGCCGCAGGACCUCAUCCAGUGGGCAGCCGAGUACGUGCUCCUUUCUCGCCUUCACCCCUUGGAGGACGGCCGGAGACAGAGGGUCCUGUAAAACCGCGGAGGUUGUCAUGGCUGCAGCUAGGAAGUCCGGACUAACUGGCAUCGUCUUUGUUUUAGCUCUUGCAUUGCUUUGAUGCUUUAAAAUCCACACAUAAAUGCUACAUCUAGCUGGGCAAGGAUGGGAUGCCUCCCCUAAGGGAGCCAGAUUGAGCAGUAGGACGCCAGGUCAAUAGGCCGUGUCCUGGGGCAAGCAGCAAGUUAGAUGACCGCGUCACACCAGCGUAUGCACACCCACCUCCUCCCUGCACGCCUUUUCCCACUCCCGGUGGAAAGAAGGGCUGGGAAUCUCCGAAGCUUAAUCUGCCUUUCUUCGUUCUCCUGUCUCACCACUAGAUGGCAGCAGUGCAGCCGGGGGAGGGAAGCGACAGCCCUGGGUGGAUGGGGUGGGACCAGUCCUGCUAGUUCACUCCUUUAAGGAGACACUUCCUCCCCUGCUGUUAAAACUCAUACUUGGACCCAACCAAAGACCCUUUAUAUCUUACAUGAAAAGCACUGCUCAGAUGGUUGUAUGUGACUUACUUAAAACCUGUAGCAUUUUAGAGAAUAAAACUCUGCAAAGUGUU
RNAcentral lists this long non-coding RNA (930 nucleotides) under Homo sapiens (human). RNAcentral describes it as "HSALNT0059761". Lineage: Eukaryota; Metazoa; Chordata; Mammalia; Primates; Hominidae. The record is from RNAcentral.